Molecule: ribosomal RNA, 252 nt
Filed under: Romboutsia timonensis
Lineage: Bacteria; Bacillati; Bacillota; Clostridia; Peptostreptococcales; Peptostreptococcaceae
Also listed under: 1 other name
Description: partial 16S ribosomal RNA
Rfam family: Bacterial small subunit ribosomal RNA
Source: RNAcentral
UACGUAGGGGGCUAGCGUUAUCCGGAAUUACUGGGCGUAAAGGGUGCGUAGGUGGUUUCUUAAGUCAGAGGUGAAAGGUUACGGCUCAACCGUAGUAAGCCUUUGAAACUGGGAAACUUGAGUGCAGGAGAGGAGAGUGGAAUUCCUAGUGUAGCGGUGAAAUGCGUAGAUAUUAGGAGGAACACCAGUUGCGAAGGCGGCUCUCUGGACUGUAACUGACACUGAGGCACGAAAGCGUGGGGAGCAAACAGG